RNAcentral lists this ribosomal RNA (112 nucleotides) under uncultured eukaryote. RNAcentral's name for it is "partial small subunit ribosomal RNA". The record is from RNAcentral.
UCGCACCUACCGAUUGGACGAUCCGGCAAGAUGUUUGGAGCUGCGUUUGAUGGGCUUUCGGGUCUGACUUAUGCGGCGAAGCUCCUCAAACCUUAUCGUCUAGAGGAAGGUG